GAAGGCGAAAUCAAAACAGCACAGACGAAGAGUUGGGAGGAGAAAAAAAUACUAACCGCGACGAGCACAGCACACGCACCCGUCUCUCUCGCUUCUUCCUCCCCUCCCCUCCCCCGUCCCGGUCGCGGUCGACGUCUCGCACGCCCCAUCGCCGCAAGCAAAGGCCAAGGUGGCAGGAGCUCCUCGCGGCUCUCUCGGAGCGUCGCCGACGGCGUGAGAGGAGUUGGGAUCCGGAUCCCGCGCGGCGGAGCGAUCUCCGGCCGCCUCGCCGGAUCGCCGGAGACAGUGUAAGUGACCGCGGCCGUCGAGCUCGGUCUUCGGCGGCAUGCGUUUGAGUUUAGAACUGAUACCUUUUUUUUCGCCACCCUCUUCGGCUGCAGUUUGCUGGUGUCCAUCCGGCGGGGGAUUUUUGGAGCUUGUGGCGGGAUUCAGAGAUGGAGGAGCUGCUGGGCACGGAGAUCGGGAAGCACGACUACGACUGGCUUCUUACUCCCCCGGGUACACCCCGUGCUCCUGCACUGGAGGUUGCUGAGAAAGCCCCACCAUCAAAUGUGCCUAAACGGACCAUCACUAGAUCGUCCUCAACCACCAGAGCAUCAAGGCUUUCUGUUCAUGAAACAGAGAAUGGACAUUCAGCAGCUCCCAAUAGACCAGUGCGAAGCAUGUCCCGACCUUCAAACAGGUCAUCAGUGCUCACUCCAAGCAUUUCUUCUGUCAGUUCGAGACCUACUACCCCAACCAAGAGCACUAGCACUCUUCCCUCUUCAAAGCCAUCAGCUCCAGCUUCACGUCCAGUGGCAGCACGAUCAUCUACUCCGGUCAAAACCCGUCCACCUACCCCGGUCAAAACUCGUCCAUCUACUCCAGUCAAAAACUGUCCUUAUGGUUCCGGCUCCAUGGCCAACUCAACCUCUGUGAAGACCACAUCUGCGCAGAACUCAAGGUCAUCAACUCCAACCUCUCGGCCCCGAAGCGUUUCCAGCUCAUCAUCAAGCACGGCUCCUUCAGUGAGUCGUCCCAGCUCAUCCUCUGGUAGAAUUCCUGCAAUUGUUCGUACCAGCUCUUCCUCAAGUACAGCUUCAGUGACCCGUUCUAGCUCUCGGUCGUCUACACCUACACGCCAGCCUGUCAUGCGUCCAUCAGCUCCAUCCAUAGCUCGCUCACCUUCAGUUGGGAGGAUUUCUGGUAGCAAUAACUUAACAUCUAGUGGACGUUCGGCAGCCAGCCGUGGUCGAAUGUCAGCACCUUCAUCAGCGCCAUCAUCCCGUCCAAGUUCCCCAAAUACACGUCCGCGAGCUCCAGUUAGGCCACUAGAUAUUCCAGAUUUUCCAAGUGAUACUCCUCCUAACCUAAGGACAAAGCUACCAGAAAGGCCACUCUCUGCUGGUAGAGCACGGCCAGGAAUUGGUUUGGGAACCAGGUCAACCCUGAAUGCUGAACCAGUUACCUCAGCUCCUGUGAAGAAGAUAUCUGUGCCUGCUAUUACUCGAAAUAAGUUUUCUGAUGCACCAUCCAAGACACCUUCUCUUACCAAUGGACACCAGAAUCGACAAACUGAGAGAUCUGUUAUGGACAGUCAGCCUGCUAGACCCUCUCGGUCUGCGACAAGUGAAGAAAAUGGAUUUGGCAGGACAAUAUCAAGGAAGUCACUUGACAUGGCAAUCAGGCACAUGGACAUUCGACAUAACUUGGGUGGCAUCCGAGGUGCAUCUCUGUUUCCUCAUAGCAUCCGGUCUUCUGCUCCCAAGGGCCGUUCAGCUCGAAUGUCCGAUCCUGGCCAUCACACCUCAAAUGCCGAGCAAGACGCAUACACCGACAGUGGCAGCAUCAAUGGGCAGUUCUCCGGUGAUUCCAUUGGAGCCCUUUCACACUACGGUGGGAGCUCAACUGACUCCCCAGACAGAGAAAGCAUGGGAACUAAAGAGACGCUGAGCGAACUGGAUAUGUAUGGCAGUUCAAGGUACGAGGAGAUGCUACUAAGGGAGGACACGAAGAACACGGACUGGUUGCACAGCGUCGACGACAAGUCGGACCAGAGCCCUGUGUUCGAUCACCGGUUCGAGCCGCUCCCAGAGCCGUUUGGUCCGCUGUGAUGCUUACCAUCUGUAAAGGUUUCAUCCGUCCGGUGGUUCAUUUUGUUCUUUGCAGUUGCGAGGCUGUAUUCUGCUCUCUUUAGAUGAAGGAAGAACUUUAUUGCUCGACGGCCUUUUUUUUGUUAGAUGCAGACACACGCACGCAGAGUUGUAUGUUGUUAUCUCAUUCGAUGUGGUCUUCCAUCUCCCCCAUCUUUUCAUGUAUCUGCUGAAAGAUGGCAAGAUUGCGGGGUUUUACAAUGUCUAUGUUUAUAUAAACACCACUUGUUUAUGUUUAUAUAAACCUUUUCUCACGAAAAUACCGUCACCUUGUUCCUGGUCUGUCACAGUGGUUUGCAAGUUAAAAGGAAUGGUUUGCAAG
Molecule: ribosomal RNA, 2454 nt
Filed under: Triticum aestivum (bread wheat)
Lineage: Eukaryota; Viridiplantae; Streptophyta; Magnoliopsida; Poales; Poaceae
Description: partial small subunit ribosomal RNA
Source: RNAcentral